Molecule: long non-coding RNA, 1723 nt
Organism: Ursus thibetanus thibetanus
Lineage: Eukaryota; Metazoa; Chordata; Mammalia; Carnivora; Ursidae
Source: Ensembl
GUGUCUAGGUGAACAGAACCAGGGAGAGGCAGAAGUGACACUAGCCUCGUUGAGGAAUUUCUCUGCCUGUCACAACCCUACAGGACAAAGUCACCUGAGCUCCGAAGUACAUUUAGGGAGACUUCAAGAUCUUCUGCCCCUUACCCCAAGGAAACUGGCAGUUAUUCAAGGAAAACAACAGUAGAAUGCCCUGGAGUUGCAACAGUGCAGAACCUUCUGGUCUGUCCUUACCCAAAUGCACAAGCCAGAUAGAAAUGCAAAAGCAGUUUCUUAGCAGGAAGUGUAGAGCAGUUAAAUUCCUGGGGAAUUCAAGGCAAAGACCACUUGAUACCUUAAAGGAAGCUAAGAAUAAACAACUGUCCUUGACCCAGAUAAAAGCCAGAAUUUCAAUGCUUUGUUGGCUUGUUUGGAUUUAUGUUUUUAAGCGUCUUUCUGUUUCUGCUAAAUGGUGACAUUGUGCUUAGCACAGUAUGUAAGAUGAGGGAUAGAGAUAUGAAAUAUUAUAACCCAAGAUUCCACUUUUUGUUCUAGAACUUUCCAUAGAUAUUCUGUACUUGCUUUUAUAAGAAAAACUCUGAAGUACAUAAUACCCUGACCGAACUGAGGGAGGGAAUUUAAAAGUAAUAUGGACCUAGAAUUGCAGCUAAACUUUGUUUUAACCCAAAUAUAUUAUUGUCUUAUGAUUGUUUUACCGCUCCCAGAUAAUAUUAUAAAAAAUUGUAUGGUCCUACGUAAACUAGUCAACCCAAACUUUUGGCAAACUUUCAACGUUUCAAAUGAUUCUUGACCAAUAUGUGACCAUUUGAGAAUCACAAGAAAACACUGUCAGUCAACGCAACCAGUUGAGCUGAUGAAAGGCUAUGAGUCUAUGAUGCUCAAAGGGGAUAAAGGAUUUAAAGUGUGCUAGGAAAAACCAUACAGUCUGUGUAAAUCCGGUAAAUAGUCCUCAAGUUUGUUCAGAGACCAUAAUUUCCCUCUCCCAAUAGACGGGACCGGAAACUUGCUGACUGUGCAUUUGGUUCUAGAACCAAGAAAGCAGGACGUUAUUAACCAUGCCCUACCUAAACUUUCUAACCCAGGAAGACCCCACCCUGCAUGAGAUUGUCCCCCAGUCUGCAUAAAAUUGUCGCCAGACAUUAUGUGUCCCGGUCAGAGUAUCUGGAGAAACUACAACUGCUGACAUUUGCUGGGCUAGCUCACUUUCUUCUCUAAUUAAAGAUACCGGGUAAGUACAUGCAUUCACAGCCAAUACAGUCCAGAAUUUAACUUUAUAUUACAGUAGAUAUAAUUUGGUAUCUUCCUGCAAAUCCAAAACCCUAGAAUAAUGUACUUCUCAGGAACAAAAAUAAGGCUGACCCCAGUAUACACAGAGCUAUGGGGAGAGAAUUUUAUAUGCAGGAAAUGUACUUAUGGACUGUGAAGGAUGGUCUACUCUAUUCAAAUGUUCAUAAAACAUACUACCCAUGUAUUCUUUUUGAAAAAAAAAUUAUUUGCAGAGAAGCAUCAGCUGUUUGUGGAAGGCAUGAGAAUUAGGCUCUCAAGAAUUGGGAAAUGAAGCCGUAAAAGGACUAAUAAUUAGCUUUUCCAAAUCAAACAGCAGAUGAGUUUAAAAUAAUUCUGGCAGGGGCCCCUGGGUGGCUCAGUCGUGUCCAUGUUGGGUGCCCUGCUCAGCAGGGAGUCUGCUUCGCUCUCUCCCUCUGCUGCUCCCCCUGCUUGUGCUCUC